UACGGAGGGGGCUAGCGUUGUUCGGAAUUACUGGGCGUAAAGCGCGCGUAGGCGGCUUUGUAAGUUAGAGGUGAAAGCCCGGAGCUCAACUCCGGAAUUGCCUUUAAGACUGCAUCGCUAGAAUCAUGGAGAGGCUAGUGGAAUUCCGAGUGUAGAGGUGAAAUUCGUAGAUAUUCGGAAGAACACCAGUGGCGAAGGCGACUAACUGGACAUGUAUUGACGCUGAGGUGCGAAAGCGUGGGGAGCAAACAGG
RNAcentral lists this ribosomal RNA (253 nucleotides) under uncultured bacterium. RNAcentral describes it as "partial 16S ribosomal RNA". It matches the Rfam family "Bacterial small subunit ribosomal RNA", at positions 524 to 776 of the family's 1533-position model. The record is from RNAcentral.